GGUUGACAGGAAACCUUGGACUGGGGAAACAGCUCGUAUUUGGAGAAACCGUGGAAAGUGUCCACUUACCCCCAAUGAAACUGCAUUCGUACUUGAAGCUUUAGCCAUACCCACCAAUACGACAAUUUAUUUGGCAGCUGGUGAUGGCCUGAUGGAACUUGAGGGACUUACAUCUGUGUAUACCCAUGUUGUUACUAAAUCUAGUCUUCUUAGCGGAGAGGACUUCACAACCAUGCAUGGGAAUACAAAAGCUGC
This 255-nucleotide unclassified non-coding RNA is filed under the name Hevea brasiliensis (rubber tree). Lineage: Eukaryota; Viridiplantae; Streptophyta; Magnoliopsida; Malpighiales; Euphorbiaceae. The record is from RNAcentral.